This 7276-nucleotide long non-coding RNA is filed under the name Panax ginseng (ginseng). RNAcentral's name for it is "long non-coding RNA (PGIN_LNC011777)". The record is from RNAcentral. Lineage: Eukaryota; Viridiplantae; Streptophyta; Magnoliopsida; Apiales; Araliaceae.
CUCAAGAAAACAAAAAUGGAAUCCAAAUGAGAAACUAACAGUAACCAAAAAUAUACUAAAGAAGUAACCAAAUAUUUAUAUAAUAAUAAUCAAAACAUGUUUUAAUGGUAACCAAUACAUAAACAACAUGUACACCAAAACCAGUUUAGUCAACCAUGUAUACUAAGCAAAUACAUGGUAACCAUAACAACAUAAAAAAAUAACCAAAAUACCAAAUCAAGGUAACAAAAAUCGUAUCCGAAUCACAAGCUAACAGUAACCAAAACAUAAUGCAGAAAUAACCAAACAGUUAUAUGAUAGUAACAAUAACAAAAUUUAAAUUAGCAAACCUUUAAAAAAAUUUAGGUUGAAAAUAUCUUCUGGCUAUGAACUUGAGCUUCUAUCUUAACAACAAGAACAUCAAAAUCAGAAUCCAACUGCACAAACCCAAACAAAUUUCUUCAAGUCCUUAAUAGAAUCACCCUCUGUAAUUCUUUUCCUCUUUCCAUCCUUCUUCCUUGUAUCAACCAUUCUAUACAAAACAUAAAAACAACACAAAUCCAAACAAUCAAUACCCCAUUCUGUUAGAAACAUAGCGUAUACAUAUGAUCAUAUUGACAAUUAAUUAGUAGAAUGAGAAUUAACAGAAAUUAGAAGCAUACCUUAGAGAGAAACCAGAAUCCUUUCAGUUGUGAAAGCGUUCGAGAGAGAAAAUCACAUAUUAGCCUGAAAACAUAGCCUGAAAGUCACGUAUUCAAUUUUCUGUCAGAGUUGAGAAACUAUGGUGUUGCGGCGGCGGCGGAAGAGGACGACGACGAGUGGCUUCGAGAGGAUAGAGAGAAGUAGUAAGGGAGAAAAGAGAGAAAUAGUAAGGGCGUAGAUAGAGAGAGACCGAAGGAAGAUGUAAACUAAUUUGCUAUGUCAGGUCAUUAAUAUUAAUCCCUUAAUUUAAGGACUCUUAAUUGUAUUAGUAUUGUAAAUAUAUAUGAUGAAGUGUCAUAUUUUUGUAAUUAUUUUAUGAAUGUAUGAUUUUUGUAAUUACUUUUAAAAAUGUACUAUAAUAUGUAAUUGUUCCUAUUUAUUUUAUAUGGGCUAAUAAAUAUUAAUAUGUGAUGGAUAGAUAAUUUGAUAAAUUUGGGCCAUAAAAAUAAUUGGAUUUAUUAUAAUGAGAGAAUUAACAAGAUAUAUUAAUAAGUAAACAAAUAACUAGACCUAAUCUGAAUUGGUGAGGGAAAAAGCAGCCGUUCGAAAGCUUCCAAUAGAAAGAGGGAAUAGAUUUGUUCAACAAAGGUGAGAUAAAAUCAUAAAACUCUCAUAUCAGUUGUAAAGAUUAUGUAUAUAUAAUAUAUGAAAAUAGAAAAUAUAUGAUGUGCAUGUGUAUGUUUUUUUUAGUCGGAUCCAAUCCAAACACUACAUUUGGAGUUACCUUAUUCAAAUAUGGUUAAAAUUAGGAUCGUUAACCAUUUAGAGCCCUUAUCACUCUGGACUCCAUACAAAGGUCAACCCAUUGUAUAUGCCCAAUUCAACUGAACUACGUAAACUGGUCUGGGCUCCUGCCCAAUGAACUCGAAUGCCCGACCUCGAACAUUAUGCAUCCAAACCGGACUCCAACCCAGAGGGCUCGAAUGUCCGAACCCGAACAUCUUCAAUAUCCACUGGGCUUCGGCCCAAUAGGCUCGACACCUCAAACCCAUCCCAGGCCUUCAGCCUAUAUGAUGGUUGAUAAAAUGCUUCCCAACAUGCAUGAGAAGGAAAAAUUGAAAGUUUUAAAAAGAUUUUUUUUUUAAUGCAAAUCACAAAUUCUUUAAUUCCAAAAAUCUCAAAUUUUCAGUCGUGAAUUCAUCCCACGACAGCUGAAGAUUGAAUAAGAUAGGAUUCAAAAAUCAAUUGAGAAAAGAGAAGAAAGAGUACGUAAACCCCCAAUCUCAUCAGAAAGCAAUAAAAAAGGAAUACGGCUACGUACGUACAUACAUACUGUAUGGUUUGGUGUGGUUGGAUUGGAUUGGAAUAAUCCUAAAAGACGAGACGAGCAUCUACUUUCUUUACAUGUGUAUUAUGGUGACAUUCAUUCAUUCUGAUUGCAGUGGCUCCCUUUGUCUCCUAAUUUACCCUAAAUCUAACACUACACUUUUAUAAUGUCUUUAAUUUUAUUUUCUUGAUUUUGAUUAACGUAAUAGUUAAUAUAUAUAUAUAUAUAUAUAUAUAUAUAUAUAUAUAUAUAGGGUUCGGUUCCUGUAAGGGAGUCCUUACUUUCUUAAAAUGCACACUUUUUUUUUGUUGCUUUUUUUGCUUUUUUUUUUUAAACAACUAAAAAAAAAUAUUUAAUAUUUUAUGGAACUAAAAUUUUUCCAUAAUAUAAUGUUUUGGGUGUGAUUUAAAUACCUAUACCAAAAAAUAGUGGUACAAUUUGCACAGACUGUACAUAUAUAUUUUGUUAUACGUACCAAAAUCACACCCAAAAUACUGUAUUAUGAAAAAAUUUCAAUUCCAUAAUUAUUUAUUUAUUUAUUUUUAGUUGUUUUAAAAAAAAAGCAAAAAAAAAAUAAAAAAAAUCCGGACAUUAGAUCCGUCUGGACUAGAUCUUGUCCCUAUAUAUAUAUAUAUAUAUAUAUAUAUAUAUAUAUAUAUAUAUAUAUAUAUAACACACNNNNNNNNNNNNNNNNNNNNNNNNNNNNNNNNNNNNNNNNNNNNNNNNNNNNNNNNNNNNNNNNNNNNNNNNNNNNNNNNNNNNNNNNNNNNNNNNNNNNAUAUAUAUAUACUACUCAAAUAAUUUUAUCAAGUACAAAAUAGUUAUUUCAAAAAAUUAAAUAAAUUCACAUUACAAUUCAAAAUUAAGAUUUUAUAAAUUAAAUAGGAUCAAAAAAAGGAGGCACUAUUAUUAUAUUUAUAUUAAUUAACAGAGAGCGCGGUUAUAUUUAGUUGCAACAAAAUGAUAUCAACAUAUUAUUUGUAAUACAGAUUAUAUGAAAUUGUGGUGUGAAACCCUGGACAAUGACCAUAAUGGACCCCUCAUGUUUGCAUUAAAGUAAUAAAAAGUCAUUACUACUUUGAGACCAAACUUUGAUGAUCUAAAGACUCCAAAGCUAGUUUAGUUAUUACCACAAUUUCAUUUUAAUUGGUACUAUGUCCCAUCGGUAAUAAGUUACCAAGGCAACAAUCUGCACUUUUUUUUGAGUUAAAGAAGGACGGGAUCGUAUUAUCCCCUUGAGAUUCUAAUAGCCACCAACUUUAAUACAAGGUAGGAGGAGUAUCUAAUAACUACAUUUAUUAAUCAACAAAAACCCCUGCUGCUGCUGCUGCUGCUGCUGCAGCAUUAAGCAAAAGAAAAGGCCUACCUAGCACUAACACGUUAACUAAUUCAACAUCCUUCAUUUACCUCAAAUAUGGAGAGGAUCCAGAUCCUGAGGAUGGAAAACUAGAAAGCAAACAACUCCUUUUACUUUAAUUGGACCAUGAAAAGCAGAUCAUUAGCUAGUAUUUAAAUAACAUAUCUAACAUCAGGUAUUCAUUGCUUGGCCCAUGAUCAGUCUCCCUUAAUCUUGAGACGCCAUCAAAUCCCCAUCAUGCAAAUUUAUAAAGCAUGAGUAGUUAAGCUUUAGAAUGUUCCAACUUCAUGUGAUAUAACAACUACAUAUAAUAGGAAAACUGUCUACCUGGAUAACCGAUAAAAGUUGUAGAGGAUUCUUCUUUUGUGUGUAGAGGAGGACGGAGAGAGAAAGAGAGAGAGCCUCAAAAUUAUUCUUUUGUAACAUCCAAUUGGUGAAACUAGAACUUAAACAAACCCAAAGAAAGAACUAAGAAAAGCAUAAAGAACGCAAUAAACCAAAACUGCUAUUUUUGUUGCAUAGAAAUGAGAGCUUGGAAUUCUAAAGUGAGAUCUUCGAUUGGCGUAAAGCUAUUGUUUGGUAUUUUUUAGGGGGGGUUUUCUAUUCUUCCGUACUUUUCCAUUCCAUUCCUCUUUAUGACCCAACACCAUCUGUAGAUUUGGCUGGCUCAAAGGCUGCCUAUUCUCUCACUCAAGCCUGUUUCUUAAUAACUAAGGCAUAGUAAUUUACCCACACACCCCUGUCAUAAUAAACUUGCAUGUCUUUUGCACAUGUACACGUAAGCAUGCUCAAGUGAAGUGCAAGAUGGGUAGGAGUCUAAGAGAUUGUGUUGGUCUUUGUUUAUAAGAAAAAAACAGGAGAAAUCACAGUGUAGGGAAAUAUAUGAAAGCGAUGCUUGGCUUCUCAAGGAUGCUGUUCCAACACCUUUAUUCAUCCCUAGNNNNNNNNNNNNNNNNNNNNNNNNNNNNNNNNNNNNNNNNNNNNNNNNNNNNNNNNNNNNNNNNNNNNNNNNNNNNNNNNNNNNNNNNNNNNNNNNNNNNCAUCCUAGUCAGAUACUUCUACAACAGCCUUAAUUUGCUUAGAUUGCAGGCUUAUGAUUGGAAUGAAUCUAAGACUCCUCUCCGGAUUUUGGGGCCCUCUCAACUUUACACUUUAGAGUCCCAUCAAAGUACUAUAAGAGGCAAUCACAAGCUUAUAUCUACCGGAAUGGAUCACAAAAUAAGAAAGAUUACAAUUUCUCAGUCUUGCUUAUUCUAUUUCUGCUCUGAAGGAAAACAUAUACUUUUUCCCUCUCCUUCACAUAGAAAUCAUGUUGCUUAAUGCUCAGAGGCUGUUUAUCCUUCUAAUCUGUAUUGGGCUAUUAGCGGUUCAACCAGCUAGAGUUUAUGGCUUGAGAAGUAAAAAGCUUGCCAUUAGAUGGAGUAAAGAAGAUCAUGGAGUAGUGCCAAUGAAUCAGCGUAUCCUUAAGGAAGUUGUUAUGGAGGACCUAAAUGCAGAGAGGAAGCCAGCUACUAUAAACAAGAAAUCGGAUCCAAACCAAUCAAGCAAAAGAAGAGUUCGAAGAGGAUCAGAUCCCAUCCACAACAGGUCAUAACAUGUUUGAAGUUUUUCCAUCAACAACAGAGAAGAACACUGAAGUUGGUAAGAAAAUCAAGAACUUGUAACACUACAAAAAUUAGAAAGUGGUAGAAAUAUGAUGCCUGCUUCCUGGAGGGUCUUUAUAUGGAUUGAUUAAAAUGUUUUCCUAUUUUAUCUUUAGAGAUUUCAUUAGAGUGAUGUGCAUAGUCAAAGUUGUUAGAGAAUGGCCCAUGAAGGUAUGCAGUGUCCAAGUAUUUACUCAUUAUUAUUUCAAAAUCAGAAAAGUGCAAUGAAGAUGGCAGGCUCUCAAAUCAAAGUAAUAUAUUUGUUUUUCCUAUUUUCUGUUUCAUCAAAAAACUUCAUCUGUUUGUAUUCUUUGCUUCAAGUUCUUGAAGAUGUUUGUAUUUCACACUCUAAGGUAAGUUCUCUUCAAUUUAAAAGGCCUACUAUUACACUUUAGUAUUUCGGAGUAAUUGACUGUUCUUAUUUCUUACUCUCUCUCUCUCUCUCUCUUAUAUAUAUAUAUAUAUAUAUAUAUAUAUAUAUACACACACACACACAAUUAUUUUAAGGUUCAAUUAAAUAUAGUACUGUUAUAUGAACUCAAACAAAUGUGCAUAUGUUUGUUAUAUAUUUGCAGUUAUGCACGCAUAUUAAAGCCUCAUUCGAAUAGAUGCCAAUAGUAACAGAGCAGCACCAGAUCUUCCUAUAAUGCAAGUUUAUGUAAGAUUGNNNNNNNNNNNNNNNNNNNNNNNNNNNNNNNNNNNNNNNNNNNNNNNNNNNNNNNNNNNNNNNNNNNNNNNNNNNNNNNNNNNNNNNNNNNNNNNNNNNNAAAACAUUUUUCAAAAAAAUCUCGCCUUCUUCACUUCUCAUAAAAAUUUCGAUUUUUUUUAAUUACUAGAAUGAUUCAAUCUUUAAUGUCUUAUCUGAUCAUAUGGUAACUAUUGUCCUAACUUUCUCUACUGGAAACUACAAGUAUUUGAUUUUUCAGUAAUACUAACUAAAGCAUCUCAGAUGAGUUGCAUUUUUAGGAUAGAUCCCGACUCAAUCCGAUUUAGUCUCCUGACUCUCCUCAAAUCAUUACAAAGUCCAAACUUAGUAUAUUUAUUCUGUUAUAUAUCUCUAUAACACAAUUUCUUCUUUAGAGUCUCUAAAAUCACCAGCGAAGAAACAUAGUAUUUAGCAGCCAACACAGAGUUCCAUGUCCAGUUAUUCCAUCACACGUCUAACACAAAAUGACAAAGAAAGAAGUGGUCUCUGCUGAAGUUUGGUCACCAAUAAUCAAGCAGAUAUUGGAUGAAGUCAUUGGCUUCAGUGCUGAAGCCAAAAGUUCAAAAAGUGGUCACUCUUUCCAUUUUUAACAGAAGCAUAAAGGAACUAGAUGAAUAAUUACCCCGAUAACAUGACUAUAAACGAAUAUGGAACAUAGGGGUAUGUAUGACAGGAUGAUAAAAAGCCAACAUCUUUAACUAAUUAAACAAUAACAGAUUGUCAGAUUCCAAAGAGUACUUGAAGGUAUCAGAUGUUGGGAUUGGCAACGAAAGGGAGCAAUGCGAAUGAUUUAAAAAGAAGAAGAGGUUUUUGGAAGGUGGGUUCAGCUAAAAGUUUCAAGAUGAUAUUAUAUUGAGUUUCAGUAUAGAACUAAAUCAAACUUAAGUACUUAACCAACCAAAAGUUUCAAAUUUUGGUAGGAGCCAGUGCCUAUUGAAGUAAUACAAGCUAUUUGUGUUGUGCAGGAAAUCGGCUAAUACUUAGUUAGUUUGUAGCAAUAUAAUUGAAAAAUGCAUUAGUCUUCAAAGGGAAGAACAAAUCAUUUAAGCCAUCUGACACAUUUUAGUCAUAUAAGGGUAGUUUGCAUGAUAAAAGAAUAGUGAUGAUAAUGAAGAUUUUGAUUAAAAUCUGAGGCAAAACCCUAAAGUAAGAGCUACCAAGAUAUUGGUAAUGAAUAGGAAAAACUGAAGAAGAAAUUCCUAGUAGAACGGAUGGAAGCAUAAUGAAAUUCAAAUAAGGGCGUGCGUGUGUAUUUAUAAUACAUAACAAGAAAAAGAAGGGGAAUUUGAAAGGAAAUGUGAAACUUUUCAAAUCUUGACAGCACGUUUGAAUAAGAGCUCCGAUUUGAACAAUAAGAGUUCCAAUUUGAACACAGAGAAGUAAUCUAACAACUCAGAGAUUGUUAUUAGUUCAGUUCAAUAAUGUAUGUAUGUAUUACUAUUUACUAUUACCUGAUUGAUAUAUAAGAUUUGGAAGCAUCAAUGUUGAAUUGGAUUCAGACUAACGUGCUGAUGUUCAUCACACUUGCUGCGUAUGAAUACCAUACCACCACGAUUAUAGAUAGCUCUAGAGCAAUGUAAUGGACCCAAGAACCAUUGCAGGCCAGGUUGUGGUCGUCGUCC